UGGGGAAUUUUGCGCAAUGGGGGAAACCCUGACGCAGCAACGCCGCGUGAGUGAUGAAGGCUUUCGGGUCGUAAAGCUCUGUCAGAGGGGAAGAAAUGUAGUGGUGCUAAUAUCGCCAUUACUUGACGGUACCCUCAAAGGAAGCACCGGCUAACUCCGUG
This 161-nucleotide ribosomal RNA is filed under the name uncultured bacterium. RNAcentral's name for it is "partial 16S ribosomal RNA". It matches the Rfam family "Bacterial small subunit ribosomal RNA", at positions 355 to 507 of the family's 1533-position model. The record is from RNAcentral.